AGUGAACGCUGGCGGUAGGCCUAACACAUGCAAGUCGAACGGCAGCACAGUAAGAGCUUGCUCUUACGGGUGGCGAGUGGCGGACGGGUGAGGAAUACAUCGGAAUCUACUUUUUCGUGGGGGAUAACGUAGGGAAACUUACGCUAAUACCACAUACGACCUACGGGUGAAAGCAGGGGAUCUUCGGACCUUGCGCGAUUGAAUGAGCCGAUGUCGGAUUAGCUAGUUGGCGGGGUAAAGGCCCACCAAGGCGACGAUCCGUAGCUGGUCUGAGAGGAUGAUCAGCCACACUGGAACUGAGACACGGUACAGACUCCUACGGGAGGCAGCAGUGGGGAAUAUUGGACAAUGGGCGCAAGCCUGAUCCAGCCAUACCGCGUGGGUGAAGAAGGCCUUCGGGUUGUAAAGCCCUUUUGUUGGGAAAGAAAAGCAGCAGGUUAAUACCCCGCUGUUCUGACGGUACCCAAAGAAUAAGCACCGGCUAACUUCGUG
RNAcentral lists this ribosomal RNA (492 nucleotides) under uncultured bacterium. RNAcentral describes it as "partial 16S ribosomal RNA". It matches the Rfam family "Bacterial small subunit ribosomal RNA", at positions 29 to 507 of the family's 1533-position model. The record is from RNAcentral.